This 271-nucleotide ribosomal RNA is filed under the name uncultured bacterium. Its description in RNAcentral is "partial 16S ribosomal RNA". It matches the Rfam family "Bacterial small subunit ribosomal RNA", at positions 524 to 794 of the family's 1533-position model. The record is from RNAcentral.
UACAGAGGGGGCAAGCGUUAUUCGGAAUUAUUGGGCGUAAAGGGCGCGUAGGCGGUGAUUCAAGUUGGAUGUGUAAUCCCCGAGCUCAACUUGGGAACUGCAUCCAAGACUGGAUUGCUAGAGUGCUGGAGAGGGUGGUGGAAUUCCUCGUGUAGCGGUGAAAUGCGUAGAUAUGCGGAGGAACACCGAUGGCGAAGGCAAUCCCCUGGGCCUGCACUGACGCUCAUGCACGAAAGCGUGGGGAGCAAACAGGAUUAGAAACCCCGGUAGU